RNAcentral lists this small RNA (424 nucleotides) under Histoplasma ohiense. RNAcentral's name for it is "hypothetical lncRNA". The record is from RNAcentral. Lineage: Eukaryota; Fungi; Ascomycota; Eurotiomycetes; Onygenales; Ajellomycetaceae.
GCGCUGCUGGCAUGAUGUGUUAGUCGCUUGGAGUGCCAUUUCCCAACCUUGCAGAAUUGUUCCGCAAAGCCUUCGUCAACUUGGGAUUGAAUCUUCGGCAAUUUUCGGCUCUUCGCCCUGAGCUCUUACAGGUACCAAGAUUUGUUCUCGGCUAGCAAGGGAGCCAACUCUGUAUGCAAGAUGAAAGCUAGAAAACAAGAAAGAGAAUAGCUCGACAAGAGGCUGUGUUGCAACAAAAUAAAGUCCAGGACCAUGCAGCAUUGCGGGAUACUAAGAGUGGAAAAUCUCGAACACUCGACCUGUGAAAGUCAUGGAUGGUUGGUCUUUCUCGUGAUGUUGCUGUUAUCAAGUUCCUGCAUAUUGCAGAUGAGUAUGCUGCUCAACCGCAACUGCCUGAAGUUUUUUGCUUUUGGCAGAGCUCCAG